GCUGGGCAUGGUGGUGCAUGCCUGUAAUCCUGGUGGCUCUUAGGAGGCUGAGGCAGGAGGAUCUCAAGUUCAAAGCCAGCGUCAGCAACUUAGUGAGGCCCUAAGCAAUUCAGGGAGACCCUGUUUCUA
RNAcentral lists this small RNA (129 nucleotides) under Marmota monax (woodchuck). Lineage: Eukaryota; Metazoa; Chordata; Mammalia; Rodentia; Sciuridae. The record is from RNAcentral.